Molecule: transfer RNA, 72 nt
Organism: Camelus ferus (Wild Bactrian camel)
Lineage: Eukaryota; Metazoa; Chordata; Mammalia; Artiodactyla; Camelidae
Rfam family: tRNA
About the family: Transfer RNA (tRNA) molecules are approximately 80 nucleotides in length.
Source: Rfam
GAGGGUAUAGCUCAGUGGUAGAGCGCCCGCUUAGCAUGCACAAGGUCCUGGGUUCAAUCCCCAGUACUUCCA